UCCUGGCUACAGAACGAACGCUGGCGGCAGGCCUAACACAUGCAAGUCGAGCGGGGGAGCAAUCCCUAGCGGCGGACGGGUUAGUAACGCGUGGGAACAUACCCUUUGGUACGGAAUAGCCUCGGGAAACUGAGAGUAAUACCGUAUGUGCCCUUCGGGGGAAAGAUUUAUCGCCAAAGGAUUGGCCCGCGUUGGAUUAGGUAGUUGGUGGGGUAAUGGCCUACCAAGCCUACGAUCCAUAGCUGGUUUGAGAGGACGACCAGCCACACUGGAACUGAGACACGGUCCAGACUCCUACGGGAGGCAGCAGUGGGGAAUUUUGGACAAUGGACGCAAGUCUGGUCCAGCCAUUCCGCGUGCAGGAUGAAGGCCCUCGGGUUGUAAACUGCUUUUGUACGGAACGAAACGGUGAGCUCUAAUACAGUUUGCUAAUGACGGUACCGUAAGAAUAAGCACCGGCUAACUACGUG
RNAcentral lists this ribosomal RNA (470 nucleotides) under uncultured bacterium. RNAcentral describes it as "bacterial SSU rRNA". It matches the Rfam family "Bacterial small subunit ribosomal RNA", at positions 17 to 507 of the family's 1533-position model. The record is from RNAcentral.